This 395-nucleotide ribosomal RNA is filed under the name uncultured Aquastella. RNAcentral describes it as "SSU rRNA". It matches the Rfam family "Eukaryotic small subunit ribosomal RNA", at positions 585 to 972 of the family's 1831-position model. The record is from RNAcentral. Lineage: Eukaryota; Oomycota; Saprolegniomycetes; Saprolegniales.
CCAGCUCCAAUAGCGUAUAUUAAAGUUGUUGCAGUUAAAAAGCUCGUAGUUGGAUUUCUGGUUUGAGCAUCCGGUCGACUCCUUAGUGAGUUUGUACUUAUGGAUGGUUGGGCCAUUAUUUUGUGAGGAUAUGUUUCUGCCAUUGAGUUGGUGGUUCUAUAGACUUGCAUCGUUUACUGUGAAAAAAUUAGAGUGUUUAAAGCAGGCGUGUUGCUCAUUUGAAUACAUUAGCAUGGAAUAAUAAGAUACGACCUUGGUCUUAUUUUGUUGGUUUGCAUACCAGGGUAAUGAUUAAUAGGGACAGUUGGGGGUAUUCAUAUUUCAACGUCAGAGGUGAAAUUCUUGGAUCGUUGAAAGAUGAGCUUAGGCGAAAGCAUUUACCAAGGAUGUUUUCA